This 465-nucleotide ribosomal RNA is filed under the name Vreelandella stevensii. RNAcentral describes it as "partial 16S ribosomal RNA". It matches the Rfam family "Bacterial small subunit ribosomal RNA", at positions 338 to 795 of the family's 1533-position model. The record is from RNAcentral. Lineage: Bacteria; Pseudomonadati; Pseudomonadota; Gammaproteobacteria; Oceanospirillales; Halomonadaceae.
CCUACGGGUGGCUGCAGUGGGGAAUAUUGGACAAUGGGCGAAAGCCUGAUCCAGCCAUGCCGCGUGUGUGAAGAAGGCCUUCGGGUUGUAAAGCACUUUCAGUGGGGAAGAAAGCCUUGGGGCUAAUACCCUCGAGGAAGGACAUCACCCACAGAAGAAGCACCGGCUAACUCCGUGCCAGCAGCCGCGGUAAUACGGAGGGUGCGAGCGUUAAUCGGAAUUACUGGGCGUAAAGCGCGCGUAGGCGGUCUGAUAAGCCGGUUGUGAAAGCCCCGGGCUCAACCUGGGAACGGCAUCCGGAACUGUCAGGAUAGAGUGCAGGAGAGGAAGGUAGAAUUCCCGGUGUAGCGGUGAAAUGCGUAGAGAUCGGGAGGAAUACCAGUGGCGAAGGCGGUCUUCUGGACUGACACUGACGCUGAGGUGCGAAAGCGUGGGUAGCAAACAGGAUUUGAUACCCGUGUAGUC